This 352-nucleotide unclassified non-coding RNA is filed under the name soil metagenome. Its description in RNAcentral is "partial contains 5.8S ribosomal RNA, internal transcribed spacer 2, and large subunit ribosomal RNA". The stretch from base 1 to 120 matches the Rfam family "5.8S ribosomal RNA", at positions 35 to 154 of the family's 154-position model. The record is from RNAcentral.
GAUGAAGAACGCAGCGAAAUGCGAUAAGUAAUGUGAAUUGCAGAAUUCAGUGAAUCAUCGAAUCUUUGAACGCACAUUGCGCCCGCCAGUAUUCUGGCGGGCAUGCCUGUUCGAGCGUCAUUACAACCCUCAGGCCCCCGGGCCUGGCGUUGGGGAUCGGCGGAGCCCCCCGUGGGCACACGCCGUCCCCCAAAUGCAGUGGCGGUCCCGCCGCAGCUUCCAUCGCGUAGUAGCUAACACCUCGCGACUGGAGAGCGGCGCGGCCACGCCGUAAAACACCCAACUCUUCUGAAGUUGACCUCGAAUCAGGUAUGAAUACCCGCUGAACUUAAGCAUAUCAAUAAGCGGAGGA